AUCGAUGAAGAACGCAGCGAAAUGCGAUAAGUAAUGUGAAUUGCAGAAUUCAGUGAAUCAUCGAAUCUUUGAACGCACCUUGCGCUCCUUGGUAUUCCGAGGAGCAUGCCUGUUUGAGUGUCAUUAAAUUCUCAACCUUACCAGCUUUUGUUGGUAAUGGCUUGGAUGUGGGGGUCUUUUGCUGGCUUCGUGAAGAGGUCUGCUCCCCUUAAAUGCAUUAGCCGGUGCCCUGCGUGGAUCCGUCUAUUGGUGUGAUAAUUAUCUACGCCGUGGACGUCUGCUUUAAAUGGGAUGCACUGCUUCUAACCGUCCGUUCAGUUGGACAAUCAAUGACAAUUUGACCUCAAAUCAGGUAGGACUACCCGCUGAACUUAAGCAUAUCAAUAAGCGGAGGAAAAGAAACUAACAAGGAUUCCCCUAGUAACUGCGAGUGAAGCGGGAAAAGCUCAAAUUUAAAAGCUGGUAGUCUCAGGCUGCCCGCGUUGUAAUCUAGAGAAGUGUUAUCCGCGCUGGACCGUGUACAAGUCUCCUGGAAUGGAGCGUCAUAGAGGGUGAGAAUCCCGUCUUUGACACGGACUGUCAGGGCUUUGUGAUGCGCUCUCAAAGAGUCGAGUUGUUUGGGAAUGCAGCUCAAAAUGGGUGGUAAAUUCCAUCUAAAGCUAAAUAUUGGCGAGAGACCGAUAGCGAACAAGUACCGUGAGGGAAAGAUGAAAAGAACUUUGGAAAGAGAGUUAAACAGUACGUGAAAUUGCUGAAAGGGAAACGCUUGAAGUCAGUCGCGUUGGCCGGGGAUCAACCUUGCUUUUGCUGGGCGUAUUCUCUGGUUGACGGGCCAGCAUCAAUUUUGGCCGCUGGAAAAAGGUCAAGGGAAUGUGGCAUCUUCGGAUGUGUUAUAGCCCUUGGUUGCAUACAGUGACUGGGAUUGAGGAACUCAGCACGCCGAAAGGCCGGGUUUUUAACCACGUUCGUGCUUAGGAUGCUGGCAUAAUGGCUUUAAUCGACCCGUCUUGAAACACGG
Molecule: ribosomal RNA, 1018 nt
Filed under: uncultured fungus
Lineage: Eukaryota; Fungi
Description: eukaryotic LSU rRNA
Rfam family: Eukaryotic large subunit ribosomal RNA (bases 339-1018)
Source: RNAcentral